UCCUGGAAACCUGAAUAAUGCCUUCUUCAGUAAUUCUUUCACAAAAUGAUGCUAGUUAUUAUUCAGAGAAUGCAUGUGUAACUAUGCCCUAAACGCAUCUAUGCAUACAAGUACACAACACAUGCACACAUACUGGGAUUGCUUUGUUAAUUGCUGGUCUUUUGCAGGGCAAGCCAUGAGUGUAAGAAUGAUGUUUAUGAUAUUGGAGUCAUCUUGCUGGAAAUCAUUUUGGGGAGGCCUAUCAUGUUCCAAAAUGAAGUUGGAGUUUUGAAAGACCUUUUACAAGUAAGUUUAACGACUGAUGACACGGGUCGAAGGAGCAUUGUCGAUCCAGCAGUGCACAAGGAGUGCUCCGAUGAAUCAUUGAAGACAAUGAUGGAGAUAUGUGUGAGGUGUCUGUCCAAUGAGCCAACUGAUAGGCCUUCUGUUGACGAUAUUCUGUGGAAUUUGCAGUUUGCAGCACAAGUUCAGGAUUCAGUAAGAGAAGACUAUC
Prunus avium (sweet cherry) is the source of this 493-nucleotide non-coding RNA. NCBI's taxonomy places the organism in Eukaryota, Viridiplantae, Streptophyta, Magnoliopsida, Rosales, Rosaceae. The record is from RefSeq and is a predicted model, not a curated record.